GCGUGCAAUUCUCAACGGUAGACAAUUUUAAUACCAAGAGGGAAUUAAACUGAUUGAAUGUUAAAUUAUCUAAAAUGAGCUCAUGAACUCGUCAAUCUUAAUUCGUCUUAGUAAGAAAGUCAUUAAACAUGGUACAAUUAACCACUGAAUUCGAACAGAGAACAUUCGUAAUCAAAAGUUUUACGAAACAAAUAGCUUGCAGCAGACUCGCGUUGCUUUUGGAUCGAUUAACUUUGCAUAAUUAAUGUAUUUUCAAUUCCCAACGGUGGAAGAAUGUGAUUUCGACCGGCAAUAUUUUUUGACGAGUAUGUUGC
Non-coding RNA from Paramuricea clavata, 314 nucleotides. NCBI's taxonomy places the organism in Eukaryota, Metazoa, Cnidaria, Anthozoa, Malacalcyonacea, Plexauridae. The record is from the annotation of a GenBank genome assembly.